Molecule: ribosomal RNA, 438 nt
Filed under: uncultured eukaryote
Lineage: Eukaryota
Description: SSU rRNA
Rfam family: Eukaryotic small subunit ribosomal RNA
Source: RNAcentral
CCAGCAGCUGCGGUAAUUCCAGCUCCAAUAGCGUACAUUAAAGUUGUUGCAGUCAAAAAGCUCGUAGUCGGAAUUCUUUGUCGCGUUUUUUCAGUGCGCGUGCGUGCCUUUUUAUGGGGUGCGCAUGUGCGCCGCGGCAAUUAACUUUUCCGUGGUGUCACCGGUGCGCUUCACUGUGUGCCGGUGUGCGCCAUGGGCGAUUACUUUGAAAAAAUUAGAGUGUUCAAAGCAGUUUUUUACUGACUUGAAUAUUACAGCAUGGGAUAAUGGAAUAUGGCUUGUGUCUAUUUCGUUGGUUUUGGGACAUGAGUGAUGAUUAAUAGGGACGGUUGUGGGCAUUCGUAUUUAAUUGUCAGAGGUGAAAUUCUUGGAUUUAUGAAAGACGAACUAGAGCGAAAGCAUUUGCCAAGGAUGUUUUCAUUGAUCAAGAACGAAAGU